GUCAAUAUAUAAAUGGUGAAAAACAUUGAGUGAUUUGCUGCAGUUUCAACCCAUUUCACUUAGUUAAUCUCGAGCUUUUCUGAGAUGCUGAACAAACUUCUGAUUCUAGUCGCAAUCAUGGCGAUUUUCUGUUUGUACGAACUUGAUGCCUUCCCUUGGCCCGACCCAGGAAAGUACUGCUCUCACACCAAUUGGUACUACAUGCAGCUCUUCUGCAAUUACACCCAAAUUGACAUGUGAAAAGUAAAAAUCAAAUAUUCAUUGGUGCAUUUGUAAAAUAAAAGAUCAAAUUGAAUUUAUUGUUAACACCUAAUUGCAAUUCUUUAGAUAUAUUUGGAGUGUUUCAGUUGACUUUCCAAACUGACUGUGCCAAUUGAGGAGAACUCAGGACUAUUUAUACGGAUAGUGGUUCUAGUUGCUUCCUAAAAUCGUGAUGGAAAGAAAAAUUACAGCCUGACGACAGUUUUCCCAAUUCUUGUAUCCAACUGAAUUUAUCAGAAAAUUUCUGGUAUCCAAAAGAACAUGGGAAAUUUGUUAGAUUUCUCUCAGCAACUGAAUUUACUUCUUAAUCAUGAAGUUCUCUUGUUUCCACCUCACGGUUUUUUCUAAUCAAUUUUCGGGGAAAAUUGUCGUCAAGGUUAGCAUUUGUCUCUCAGUCACGAUUUUAGGACAGCAGAUUGGAAAUUUUCCCGUAUAAAUACUCGGGAGUUUUCCUCAAUUGGCAUAGUCAGUUUGAGAAGUCAACUGAAGCACUCCAAAUCAAUCCAAAAUGAUGAAGUUCCUGUUCUUCGCCCUCCUCGUCGUCCUGGCCGUUGCCACCGCCUUCGCUGCUCCUGAGCCAGCUCCUGCUCCUCUGCCAGCUCCCCAGGGUGGAUAUUACCCCUAUGGAUACUAUUCAUACUAUCCAUACUAUGGAUACUACUAAACCUGGAACCAAAGACCCAACGAAUAAGAUGAAAUAUUCGACCACUUUUGAAUGAAAACUUUUAAAAUUGUUCAAAUAUCAGGAAAUGAAUAAACAGAUAAAGCAUUAA
This is a long non-coding RNA of Phlebotomus argentipes, 1034 nucleotides long. RefSeq lists it as uncharacterized. The transcript is spliced from 3 exons. NCBI's taxonomy places the organism in Eukaryota, Metazoa, Arthropoda, Insecta, Diptera, Psychodidae. The record is from RefSeq and is a predicted model, not a curated record.